Molecule: ribosomal RNA, 443 nt
Filed under: uncultured bacterium
Lineage: Bacteria
Description: partial 16S ribosomal RNA
Rfam family: Bacterial small subunit ribosomal RNA
Source: RNAcentral
CCUACGGGUGGCAGCAGUGGGGAAUAUUGGGCAAUGGGCGCAAGCCUGACCCAGCAACGCCGCGUGAAGGAAGAAGGCUUUCGGGUUGUAAACUUCUUUUCUCAGGGACGAAGCAAGUGACGGUACCUGAGGAAUAAGCCACGGCUAACUACGUGCCAGCAGCCGCGGUAAUACGGAGGUGGCAAGCGUUAUCCGGAUUUACUGGGUGUAAAGGGCGUGUAGGCGGGACUGCAAGUCAGAUGUGAAAACCAUGGGCUCAACCUAGUGCCUGCAUUUGAAACUGUAGUUCUUGAGUACAGGGGAGGCAGACGGAAUUCCUGGUGUAGCGGUGAAAUGCGUAGAUAUUAGGAGGAACACCAGUGGCGAAGGCAGUCUGCUAGACAGCAACUGACGCUGAGGCGCGAAAGCGUGGGGAGCAAACAGGAUUAGAUACCCCUGUAGUC